AAGGUUACUCUCCUAGUGAUUAGCCAUCGUGGAUCUCAGUGGGUUUUGUUAAGAGUGAAAACUCCGGUGAUGAAAAGAUCUCCGUCGUUUUCCCACAGACGGCGCCAAUUGAUGAUCUGAGAUCCAAUAGAAUAGGGUUUUACAAGGGUUUUUGUAUUGAAGAAUAAAACUUGGCCUAUCUCUCUAGAGGGGUAUCCCUUUUAUCCUUUUCUUCCUGCUGGCUGGUGACGUAUAACGGCUCUCCCAUGAUUGGACCACGCGUCUCUGCCAUACAGAUAUGGGCGUACGAGGAUAUCAGGCGCCUGCUCCAUGCGUAACGGCCUCUGAUUCUCCCCCGUGCGUACACUCGAGCGAAUCUGCCAGGCUGUACGACGAGUCUCGUUCUGGAUUCUGGGCUGGGCCGAGAGCUGGGCUGGACGCUGAACCCAGGAGGAGAAGGAAUCCGUGGGGAGGUUAUACGGGCUGGGCCGAUCUCGAUGAGGAAGAAUCUGGUGGAGUCCGGCCUCAGGGGUCUAAUGAUCCGGGCCUGUUUUACUUGAGAGGGCGUGCGGGCCUUCCUUUCAUAGGCCGUGGCCGUAAUCUAGGCCCAGGAUUGGGGGUAGGAAAAUCCAGCGGUCAUCAAUCUAUAUAU
Molecule: long non-coding RNA, 631 nt
Filed under: Manihot esculenta (cassava)
Lineage: Eukaryota; Viridiplantae; Streptophyta; Magnoliopsida; Malpighiales; Euphorbiaceae
Description: long non-coding RNA (MESC_LNC006172)
Source: RNAcentral